AUGAUUCGUGAAAGCAAAUUUUAUGGAAGAAAUGAGAUGCAGCUAGGACAAUGUAGGAUAUCUUCAAUCUAGGACACUAAAGACAAGAUGGGCUAGUUAUCAAAUUUGACCUACCCUAUAUCAUGCAGGAAUGUACAUGUACAUGGAUGUUUAAAAAAUUCCACAAAUGGUGAAGAAAAUGGCAAGGGAAGACGCCUGAUAAAUGUUUCAAGUAAAAUUCAGCAAUUGAGUUUCUGGAAAGCCAAGCAUACAUAACCAAAGGAUAUUUUCAUAGAAUGGACUUCUGUAGGCCAAAAAAAUAAAGACAACAUCAAGGAGAGUGACAUUUAGAAGAAAGAACAUUCAAUUGAUAAUGUUAUUAUGUCAACAACAAAAACAAAAAAAAGUUGAUUGUAACGUUUUGAGAAUG
This is a long non-coding RNA of Mytilus trossulus (common blue mussel), 409 nucleotides long. RefSeq lists it as uncharacterized. The record is from RefSeq and is a predicted model, not a curated record. The transcript has 4 exons. NCBI's taxonomy places the organism in Eukaryota, Metazoa, Mollusca, Bivalvia, Mytilida, Mytilidae.